AUGAACGCUGGCGGCGUGCCUAAUACAUGCCAGUCGAGCGAACAGAUCAGGAGCUUGCUCCUUUGACGUUAGCGGCGGACGGGUGAGUAACACGUGGGUAACCUACCUAUAAGACUGGAAUAACUCCGGGAAACCGGGGCUAAUGCCGGAUAACAUUUAGAACCGCAUGGUUCUAAAGUGAAAGAUGGUUUUGCUAUCACUUAUAGAUGGACCCGCGCCGUAUUAGCUAGUUGGUAAGGUAACGGCUUACCAAGGCAACGAUACGUAGCCGACCUGAGAGGGUGAUCGGCCACACUGGAACUGAGACACGGUCCAGACUCCUACGGGAGGCAGCAGUAGGGAAUCUUCCGCAAUGGGCGAAAGCCUGACGGAGCAACGCCGCGUGAGUGAUGAAGGUCUUCGGAUCGUAAAACUCUGUUAUUAGGGAAGAACAAAUGUGUAAGUAACUGUGCACGUCUUGACGGUACCUAAUCAGAAAGCCACGGCUAACUACGUG
RNAcentral lists this ribosomal RNA (496 nucleotides) under uncultured bacterium. Its description in RNAcentral is "partial 16S ribosomal RNA". It matches the Rfam family "Bacterial small subunit ribosomal RNA", at positions 29 to 507 of the family's 1533-position model. The record is from RNAcentral.